This 378-nucleotide ribosomal RNA is filed under the name uncultured Gemmatimonadota bacterium. Its description in RNAcentral is "bacterial SSU rRNA". It matches the Rfam family "Bacterial small subunit ribosomal RNA", at positions 521 to 896 of the family's 1533-position model. Lineage: Bacteria; Pseudomonadati; Gemmatimonadota. The record is from RNAcentral.
UAAGACGGGGGGCGCAAGCGUUGUUCGGAAUUACUGGGCGUAAAGGGCGGGCAGGCGGUCUGCUCAGUCUUCUGUGAAAAUCCGGGGCUCAACCCCGCGAAAUGCAGAAGAUACUGGCAGACUAGAGACUGGUAGAGGCUAGCGGAAUUCCUGGUGUAGCGGUGGAAUGCGUAGAUAUCAGGAAGAACACCUGUGGCGAAGGCGGCUAGCUGGGCCAGAUCUGACGCUCAUCCGCGAAAGCGUGGGGAGCAAACAGGAUUAGAUACCCUGGUAGUCCACGCCGUAAACGAUGGGCACUAGAUGCCGGGUCUAUAGACAGGUUCGGUGUCGCAGCUAACGCACUAAGUGCCCCGCCUGGGGAGUACGGUCGCAAGGCUA